RNAcentral lists this transfer RNA (64 nucleotides) under Eucoptacra sp. OR509. Its description in RNAcentral is "tRNA-His". Lineage: Eukaryota; Metazoa; Arthropoda; Insecta; Orthoptera; Acrididae. The record is from RNAcentral.
GCUUAAGUAUUUUAAUAAAAAUAUUGUUUUGUGGGAUCAAUGAUAUGAGUUUUCAUCUUAAGCC